This 334-nucleotide ribosomal RNA is filed under the name Coenagrion resolutum. RNAcentral's name for it is "partial 12S ribosomal RNA". The record is from RNAcentral. Lineage: Eukaryota; Metazoa; Arthropoda; Insecta; Odonata; Coenagrionidae.
GUAGUAGUUAUGUCCUUGAAACCCAAAGAAUUUGGCGGUAUUUUAGUCUUUUCAGAGGAACCUGUUCUGUAAUCGAUAGUCCACGAUUUUAUUAACUUAUGUUUGUUUUCAGUUUUUAUAUCUCCGUCAUAAGAAUAUUUUUUCAGAAUUAAUUUUCUUAAUUAUUAAAGAUAAUUAUGUCAGGUCAAGGUGAAGCUUAUACAUAAGUAGAAAUGGGUUACAAUAAAUUUAUUUAAACGGAUUUUAAAUUUUAUUUUUAUUUGAAGGAGGAUUUGGAAGUAAAAUUAAUCAAUUAAUUUUUUUGAUUUUAGCUCUAAAAUAUGUACACAUCGCC